AUGCUCGUUGAUGUAAGAUCAAGGAAGUCGAAAAACUAUGGGCGCAAAAGGAUUGUAGUUGACCUCAGUAUGGUUCCUGAUAUUCCUCGGAGCCAAAGGAGAACUAUACGCAGUCUCGCAAGAGCUUUGGGUGUGAAGAAAAGCACACUACGUAGGAUGUUUACGGACCACUUUCUUGAUAGGCAUUCAAUCUCACUCAAACCAUAUCUGAAGGAAGCAAACAAAAAGGCUAGGUUGCGGUUUUGUCUCUCUAUGUUUGACCAACAAAGUUUGCAAAAUAGGCCCACAUUCAAGGAUAUCCGUAACAUAAUACAUAUAGAUGAAAAGUGGUUUAACACCACUCAGAAGACCAUGAAAUUCUACAAGCUGCCAUCGGAAGAAGACUAA
This 387-nucleotide ribosomal RNA is filed under the name Triticum aestivum (bread wheat). Its description in RNAcentral is "partial small subunit ribosomal RNA". Lineage: Eukaryota; Viridiplantae; Streptophyta; Magnoliopsida; Poales; Poaceae. The record is from RNAcentral.